RNAcentral lists this unclassified non-coding RNA (441 nucleotides) under Hevea brasiliensis (rubber tree). Lineage: Eukaryota; Viridiplantae; Streptophyta; Magnoliopsida; Malpighiales; Euphorbiaceae. The record is from RNAcentral.
GCGAAAGAUGACAAACAGAAAGACUCAGAAGAGUUUAAGACUCAACCAAAAUGACCAGGCUUACCCAUCUUUCAUUUUUAAUUCAUAGACAGGGAUAUUUGUAAAUCACUUUAUAGGACAAAUUUUCAAUCAAGAUUAAUAUCAGGCUCUCCUACUUGGUCCAUUGGAACCGGAAUGCAAUUGGCCUUCAUCGAAAGCACACAAGCCUUCUAAUGUGGUAAUCCAUUACAGAUGAAUGCUACAACUUAGAUAUGGAGAAGUUUUUUCCAUGAAGACUGCAUGACCAUGCCAAAUAAAAUGGAUCUGGAAGAGUGAUAAAAGCCCUAAAGGGAAAAUCUCGAAAGCGAUACCUAAUACCUUGUCGCUAAUUGCAAAUGAUGCCAUAAGAAAAUGUGCCCCCCAAAACUAGCAUCUCAUUCAAGAUAUGAAUAAUAUGUAAAU